GAUGAAGAACGUAGCGAAAUGCGAUACGUAAUGUGAAUUGCAAAUUCAGUGAAUCAUCGAGUCGUUGAACGCACAUUGCGCCCCCUGGUAUUCCGGGGGGCAUGCCUGUCCGAGCGUCAUUGCUGCCCUCAAGCAGGGCUUGUGUGUUGGGCCCCGUCCUCCGAUCCCGGGGGACGGGCCCGAAAGGCAGCGGCGGCACCGCGUCCGGUCCUCGAGCGUAUGGGGCUUUGUCACCCGUUCUGUAGGCCCGGCCGGCGCUUGCCGAUCAACCCAAAUUUUUUAUCCAGGUUGACCUCGGAUCAGGUAGGGAUACCCGCUGAACUUAAGCAUAUCAAUAAGCGGAGGA
This 346-nucleotide unclassified non-coding RNA is filed under the name soil metagenome. RNAcentral's name for it is "partial contains 5.8S ribosomal RNA, internal transcribed spacer 2, and large subunit ribosomal RNA". The stretch from base 1 to 119 matches the Rfam family "5.8S ribosomal RNA", at positions 35 to 154 of the family's 154-position model. The record is from RNAcentral.